GACGAACGCUGGCGGUGUGCUUAACACAUACAAGUCGAACGGAAAGGCCCUGCUUUUGUGGGGUGCUCGAGUGGCGAACGGGUGAGUAACACGUGAGUAACCUGCCCUUGACUUUGGGAUAACUUCAGGAAACUGGGGCUAAUACCGGAUAGGAGCUCCUGCUGCAUGGUGGGGGUUGGAAAGUUUCGGCGGUUGGGGAUGGACUCGCGGCUUAUCAGCUUGUUGGUGGGGUAGUGGCUUACCAAGGCUUUGACGGGUAGCCGGCCUGAGAGGGUGACCGGCCACAUUGGGACUGAGAUACGGCCCAGACUCCUACGGGAGGCAGCAGUGGGGAAUAUUGCACAAUGGGCGGAAGCCUGAUGCAGCAACGCCGCGUGCGGGAUGACGGCCUUCGGGUUGUAAACCGCUUUCGCCUGUGACGAAGCGUGAGUGACGGUAAUGGGUAAAGAAGCACCGGCUAACUACGUG
This 468-nucleotide ribosomal RNA is filed under the name uncultured bacterium. RNAcentral's name for it is "partial 16S ribosomal RNA". It matches the Rfam family "Bacterial small subunit ribosomal RNA", at positions 28 to 507 of the family's 1533-position model. The record is from RNAcentral.